This 253-nucleotide ribosomal RNA is filed under the name uncultured bacterium. Its description in RNAcentral is "partial 16S ribosomal RNA". It matches the Rfam family "Bacterial small subunit ribosomal RNA", at positions 524 to 776 of the family's 1533-position model. The record is from RNAcentral.
AACGGAGGGGGCGAGCGUUGCCCGGAUUUACUGGGCGUAAAGCGCGCGUAGGCGGCUGCGUAAGUGGGGAGUUAAAGCCCUCGGCUCAACCGGGGACAUGCACCUCAAACUGCGAGGCUUGAGUGUAGGAGAGGGGAGUGGAAUUCCCGGUGUAGCGGUGAAAUGCGUUGAUAUCGGGAGGAACACCGGUGGCGAAGGCGGCGCCCUGGCCUACCACUGACGCUGAGGCGCGAAAGCGUGGGGAGCGAACGGG